Molecule: long non-coding RNA, 925 nt
Organism: Gopherus flavomarginatus (Mexican gopher tortoise)
Lineage: Eukaryota; Metazoa; Chordata; Testudines; Testudinidae
Exons: 2
Source: RefSeq, a predicted model, not a curated record
UCUCUGAAGUACUCAGCCCUCACGUUGUCCACAUCUGGACUGAAUUUUACUGCCAAUGUUGGCAGUUUCACUCUGAGAUGUGCAUAAGAUGUUAUAUUUGUGGAAGAGGCCAGGAGUCCUCUGGUGGGAUAUCACAAGCUUAGAAUUCUUCGGGAGGACAACUCAUUAAGAGUCCGUGAAUUUCAAGAAAGUGUCCAUGACCAUGGGAAAACCAGGAUAGCAUAUGUAAAGAAGAUCCUUUACGUAAGUCAGGACAUGCAUGAGCAUCAUGUUUAUUGAGUAACAUCUCAUGGCCAGUCAUCUAAUAAUAUAGCAACUCUCAACUUGGCACAGUAUCAUUAUCCCUAUUUUACAGAUGGGGAAGCUGAGGAACAGAGUGAUACAGCACCUUGCUCAAGAUCAUCCAGCAAGCCAGUGGCAGAGGUCUCCUGAGUUCUAGUCCAGUGCUCUAUUCACUAGCUACACUGCCUCCCUAUGCAUGAAGGCCUUUAGAGUAUUUUCCAUAAUUUUUUCCAAUAGCUAUAUAGAAAUAGAUAUCUUAAGUUUGAAUGGGAAAUGAGUAUGGAUGAUGGAAGCUAGCAUUACAAUAUGUGAAACUUGACCUUUCUGAAAAAGCUGCUCAGAUUUUGGAGAGAUGAUGGGACAAAAAAAUCUUCUCCAGUAGAAGAACAAUGAAUAAGAUUAUCCCCUAUGUCCAACUGUGACACCUGACGGCCCAACUCCUUUAACGAGGAGUCUUUUUCUGGUCUGCGUCUCUGGUCUCAUGACAGGAAAACCUAAAGAGGCACUGGUGGGGAAGAGGCUGGAGUGGACUGGUAGCAUAUUCAAGCAGAAUUAUCUCAGUUAUCCACUAAUCCACAGCUGUACCAUAUCAAGCUGCAACAAAACCAACCAUGUGACAAGAAGUAUUAAAAAUAAGUGAUUU